CAGUAGCCGCGGGAAAACAGAGGAUGCAAGCGUUAUCCGGAAUGAUUGGGCGUAAAGCGUGCGCAGGCGGUUGUGUAAGACAGGUGUGAAAUCCCCGGGCUUAACCUGGGAACUGCGCUUGUGACUGCACAGCUAGAGUGUGGCAGAGGGGGGUGGAAUUCCACGUGUAGCAGUGAAAUGCGUAGAGAUGUGGAGGAACACCGAUGGCGAAGGCAGCCCACUGGGCCAAUACUGACGCUCAUGCACGAAAGCGUGGGGAGCAAACAGGAUUAGAUACCCGCGUAGUCCCUGUCUCUUAUCC
This 301-nucleotide ribosomal RNA is filed under the name uncultured bacterium. RNAcentral describes it as "partial 16S ribosomal RNA". It matches the Rfam family "Bacterial small subunit ribosomal RNA", at positions 509 to 809 of the family's 1533-position model. The record is from RNAcentral.